Long non-coding RNA from Malurus melanocephalus (red-backed fairy wren), 4806 nucleotides. RefSeq lists it as uncharacterized. The record is from RefSeq and is a predicted model, not a curated record. Lineage: Eukaryota; Metazoa; Chordata; Aves; Passeriformes; Maluridae. The transcript has 3 exons.
UUGAUUUYAUCAAUAAUAAGUCUYCAUCAAGUUAGGUUUAUUUUUAAACUCAAUCUGACUAGUUUAACAAGAAAUUAAAUGUAUUCAGUCCCUGAGGUUAUGAAUGUGCUUUUAAUUUGCUUCCAAAGUUGCUACUAAGUUACUUCAGCAUUUUCAAUGAGACACUACUUCCAAGGAUCUGGCAGAGGAGAUGGAUAUUGCUUGUUAGMACUGGUGUAAUUAACCUGUAGCCAUUUCUGGUGUCUUCUGUAGCUUUGUACCAAAAAUAWCCAGUUGGAUCCCCCUUUGGUUCUCCUCCAGUGUCUGCUGCCCUUCUGUGUUUCUUCUUGACUGCACAGCUUGGAUCCAUGCAGCCUUCCUGCCAUCAAACACUGUGCUGUUCCAGUGGAGCAUAUAUUAGUUCUCUGGUUCUUCCUCUUAAUCUUUGUGUCUGUAGAUAACUUUCUGAACCUUACAGAAUGUUUGAUGUUCUUUGACAGAGGGAGUGUGUAACUGCAUGUCCCUCUCCAGCAGCAGAAAGGAGGURACAGUGGCUUCAGUCUGUGAACUGACUGUGAGUGAAAGGGAGAGAUGUGCCCACACCCACAUGGACCUGCUGCAGCGAAGAGGACAUUUUGCUCAUUCCUUCAUUUCUCCUCAUUCUUCUGUGGCCUAGAAAAUUUGACUUCCUCUUCUCCAGUGUCUGAGCACCUGUAUCCUUUCUUGGUCUACUUGGUCUCAAUUCGUAAUCCCUGAAUUGAUGAUGUGAUUCUGUCAGAGAUGUCAGAGAUAUGGAUUUGGCAGUGGAGUGUUAAAAUGAUGUCACUGAAUUUGAACAGCAGCAAACCUGAGGCCCAAGCAGARAAAUAUGCAGUCUUUCUCGAGACAUGUUGAGACAUCCCCUUGCAGCUGUAAUGGGUUAUCAGCACAACAUCUCCACCCUUUCACCAGAUGCAACUUUGUCUUCAGACUUCAGCURUAUAUCAUCUGAUCUCAGCUGGUGUCAAAAGACCCAGGAGCUCUCUGCCUGUCUGCUGGGAACGUUGAUCCACUCACCACAACUAUGUACAAGAUGUGAAGCCUUUCCUUUCCUUGCGCUCUCUUUCUCUCUCUCUUAAAAAAAAAAAAAAAAAAAAAAAAAAAAAAGCAAGCUGUCAGUAUUUCAGAAAGUGUGAGGUGUGAGCAGCAGAUCUUUGUGUACUUUAAUCCAUAAAUAAACAUUUCUUCUUUUGAACUUCAUUAAAAUUGGAUGUGUUUUCACUGUAAAACACUUCAGCACCCCUAUCAUUUAGACAUAUAUGGUGAUGAAUAUUGCAAUUAAGUUUUGUCUGUAGGAAUAAUUGUGGUCUGGAAAUACUCAAUUUAUGCCAAAAAAGUAAAUAAGAAUCAGACUACAAGAUAUACUGCUUAUAACAGUAAUUUAAGAACAAGAUAUUAAACUAUGCUCCCGCUGUUUUUAACAGGCUGGGCCAUACACAUCUUUGUUUUUGUGACCAAGCUUGCAGGGAAGUUGUGGAGAGGUGAGUUUGAUUUGACUUCAGCACAAUUAUAUCUGACUUUCUUCUGGUAAGACUUGUUGAUGUAUCACAUUCAAAUCUCCAGCUUUGCCUUCUCUGCAUUUGACCUGAAGAAAGGAAUUCCUGCUUUAAAAUGCUCAUCAAUCAGUGCUGCGCRGUUAAGCUGAUAACAAAGCUAAGGCUAAGCCAGUGCUAAUUUAGCCAACUGUUACAUUACUGACAAUAUUUGUCAGCAAAUGAUUUUAAUUAGACCAGCAUAAGGAGAUAAGUAGGCUAAAACUAAGCAAAUGACUAAAACUAAMGAGGGAUUCUGAUGACAAACAAGUCCUGAUGAGAGUAAGAAUGAUUUUUUUUCUUUUURCCACCAAUGUCUGAGUAGCACGUGGGAACGGAGAGACGGCACUAAUCACAUGAGAAAUCGCCUUAAAAUGAUGCUGCUGYGCUGGAAUGCUGAGUCGGUGUCAGGAAGGCUCGCAGGGUUUGAGCAAGUGCUGUGUAAACUUCCUGGGGAGCCUUGCAUGCCGGUGACACGGUGACAUGGUGACACUGUCCCCCUGCCCCGGCCGGGCUCCUUUGUGCCCUGCCUUUGGUGCCUUGCCUGGAACAGCACAGGGAAACCUUGUGUAAGGGUAAAGUGAAGAGGCAGCAGCACUUGGGCUGCGAGGUGAUACAGGGGAAGGGUGUGGAAAAGGACCUACUGAAAUUUGUGGCYGUAAUUAAGAACAGGUAGGGGGAAAAAAUGGGAUGAGAAGGCAGGAAAAAAUGUGGUAUUUCUUUCAGGAAAGAAGUAAGAAUGGAGAGGCAAAAAGAAAAGCAUUGUUUUGUGUUUGAACAUGGAAAAAACAAGUUCGGGGUGCAUAACCUGCUGCUCUACUCAUCUCUUUCUCUCCCUACAUAGCUUCUUUGUUCUGAUUUCUCGUGGAGUAUUCCUGCUCCUGUGUUAUUUCCCCCUGCCUGCCCAGGGUCUUCCUGAGACCUGCUGGCAGAGGGAGGUUUUCACAGCCUGACGUGUUGAUUCUGAGAAGUGUGAAGGAAACAGAGCCGUGCUGGAUGAUGUGACUCACCUUGGAGAGGUUGCUGUUUUCCGGCUGAGGGAAAGUGUGAAGUUUCAGCUUUGCUAGUCCAGAUGUUUUAAUGGAAAUUGCUGCAGUAAGAGAAACCCUGGCCUGCGUGUCUUGCUCAGUCCUGAACAGGAGAAUAACAAAUUACAUACUAACAUAAAUCUUUAAUGAUUUAUGAUAAAAAAACCAAAUUAGAUGGCGAGCAAAAUACUAGGUUAAUUGACUAUGGGUUCCUAAGUUCCCCAAAAGGUAGCAUUCCAGCCAAAUAUGGCUGAAAUAUCAGCUGUCAUAUGAUGAAUAUUUUAAAGAAGAUUCUAUUAUACACCUAGGGGUUGAUUCGCUCCAGUAAUGAGGACAGUUACCUCUAGGGAAAGGAAGCUCUAUUAUGCUUGCCACUUAACCAGGGGCUGGUUUGACAGGCAUCAGCUCAGAAUAUAUGUGUAUAUAUAGGGAAUCACAGCAGCUUGUCUCAAGCUUACUGAGCAGGAAAUGUUGUGCUGUACAAUACUCUGGGUUUCUAUCUAUGGAUUUGUGGAUGGCACUGAGUGGGAUUCAGACUAUUUUUAUUCCUGAAUCUGAUUGUUGAGGUGGAAUCCAUCACCUACUAAAUAUUAAAUCAGCAGGUUUUUUAAAGAGCAACACUGUCUCUGCUGACUUGAAUAUCCUUAUGUGGCCCAGAGGAAAAGAGAAACAAAGACAAGAUGAGAAAACUAUCAUCUUUGGCAUUCUUCUUAAUAUUAAUGAUUUCUCUAAAGUUUUCAAACUGUUGAAGGCAAAAAGUGAGAUAGAACUUUCACAUGGGUAAGAAAUGACCCAGGUGAAAAAAAAGCAUGCAUUAUAAAAGCCAUGGUGAAAAUUCUGGAGUUGAAUUAUUUGUUGGAAGAGGUGGAGAAAAUGUAUCAACAGAUUAUUUUUUAAACAAGUUUUGUUUAAUUGCUUCCAAACAAACAUAGCUGGGAAUUAUUAGGAAUGUGUCAAUUCAAAAUUACUUGAACAAAUUMAUGUGGAUGCAAUUUAUGUCAGAUUUCACUCUGAGUGUGGUUUCUGAAACCCAGUGUCUGCUAAUGCUGAAGUUUUGAGAUAACUACCCAACUUACAUGCUGUUGUUCAUCUUACCAGACAAACUGGAAUUGUUAACAGCUCCUUCAUGUUUUUCUUUUUAAAGUUGCRCUUCAUAGGCAAUAUCCAAAGACACCAAUCUGUGGGGUUUCUGAAUGAGUAGUUCUAACAUACCCAUGGUUGCCUCUAUGCACACUCAUCAUGCACCACUGCACAAAUAAAAGCCCAUCUCUGUCACUCUUAAAGGAUGCUUUAAGCCCUCUAAGGAUUUAAUUUAGGAUUUUAAAAAUCYCUUUUCUGAUAAUCAGCAGGUAAGUGAUAAAACAAAUGCACAACAAAUGAUGUCAUAUUUUUUUGGUUUUGCAGUUUGUAAAGUAGUCACAUUUCAGUUCCAGAUAUCAAAAUGAAUAAUUGUUACACCAAUCUUCUAAAUGCAGGAAGAUUCUUAAAGAGUUUCUAGUUGCUUACUGCUAAGAUGGAAGCUCACUUCUAAUGUCACAUUUUUAAGGUCUCAGAUAACAUACGAAAAUGUCCUGGAUGUCCUGACAUUUAAACAGCAAAUCCCAUGCCAUCCUAUGGUAGGAGAAUUCCAGCCCUUUGCUUAAUUUCAAAUAAUUCUCUGUGUUUGACCAGAUGAAUUACCUAGGUUUCUGAAUACAAAUGAUUUAUUCUGAURCUCUUUGUUGGCUAAACUGACCUUUCAAUGCAAAAAAUGGGACAAAAUGAAAGUAUUCAUUAAGUUGGUGGCUUUGCAUAUUUCACAUGCAUUUUUUAAGAUGAUGUUACAUAUUUAUCAGUUUGUCUUAGUCACAGACUUGUUGCUGUGAAUGCUCUGUACAUAUGUGGAUAUCUGAGCUGCUUUGUAGGGGAGGUAAGGAAAAAAGGAAAAAUCUAAUAUGAAAUGGAGAGGGAAUAAGUGAGAUGAGGAGUUAGGAGUUGUAUAGUUCCCAUUUAUGCACAUGAUUCUUUAGAGGUURUAGGGUUUCCUUUCCCAGUGUAACUUGGUAUGCACUGGGAGUUUUGAUCAAAUGUUGAUGUUAUGUAAAACCCAGCAGUUAUUAUUUUUCAUCUUGAGAUAUGGGUUGAAUAAUCUUAAAUUGUUCAGGGAUUACAAACAUCUUUGUCAUCCUAUCAGUUAAUUCAUUGUCUACAUUGGUUUUAAUUGUGUGUGAAAAAGACAAUAUUUGAAU